AGUGAACGCUGGCGGUAGGCCUAACACAUGCAAGUCGAACGGCAGCACAGUAAGAGCUUGCUCUUACGGGUGGCGAGUGGCGGACGGGUGAGGAAUACAUCGGAAUCUACUUUUUCGUGGGGGAUAACGUAGGGAAACUUACGCUAAUACCGCAUACGACCUACGGGUGAAAGCAGGGGAUCUUCGGACCUUGCGCGAUUGAAUGAGCCGAUGUCGGAUUAGCUAGUUGGCGGGGUAAAGGCCCACCAAGGCGACGAUCCGUAGCUGGUCUGAGAGGAUGAUCGGCGACACUGGAGCUGAGACACGGUCCAGACGCCUACGGGAGGCAGCAGUGGGGAAUAUUAGGCAAUGGGCGCAAGCCUGAUCCAGCCAUACCGCGUGUGUGAAGGAGGCCUUCGGGUUGUAAAGCCCUUUUGUUGGGAAAGAAAAGCAGCAGGUUAAGACCCCGCUGUUCUGACGGUACCCAAAGAAUAAGCACCGGCUAACUUCGUG
This 492-nucleotide ribosomal RNA is filed under the name uncultured bacterium. Its description in RNAcentral is "partial 16S ribosomal RNA". It matches the Rfam family "Bacterial small subunit ribosomal RNA", at positions 29 to 507 of the family's 1533-position model. The record is from RNAcentral.